RNAcentral lists this ribosomal RNA (274 nucleotides) under uncultured bacterium. RNAcentral describes it as "partial 16S ribosomal RNA". It matches the Rfam family "Bacterial small subunit ribosomal RNA", at positions 523 to 796 of the family's 1533-position model. The record is from RNAcentral.
AUACGUAGGGGGCAAGCGUUAUCCGGAAUUAUUGGGUGUAAAGGGUGAGUAGGCGGCAUAGUAAGUCAUGUGUGAAAGCCUGGGGCUAAACCUCAGGAUUGCAUAAGAAACUGCUAAGCUAGAGUACAGGAGAGGCAAGUGGAAUUCCUAGUGUAGCGGUGGAAUGCGUAGAUAUUAGGAAGAACACCAGUGGCGAAGGCGACUUGCUGGACUGAAACUGACGCUGAUACACGAAAGCGUGGGGAGCGAACAGGAUUAGAAACCCCGGUAGUCC